UACGGAGGGUGCAAGCGUUAUCCGGAUUUACUGGGUUUAAAGGGUGCGUAGGCGGGUUGAUAAGUCAGGGGUGAAACCUCCGAGCUUAACUCGGAAACUGCCUUUGAUACUAUCAGUCUUGAAUUCAGUUGAGGUGGGCGGAAUGUGUCGUGUAGCGGUGAAAUGCUUAGAUAUGACACAGAACACCAAUUGCGAAGGCAGCUCGCUAAACUGACAUUGACGCUGAGGCACGAAAGCCAGGGGAGCAAACGGG
RNAcentral lists this ribosomal RNA (253 nucleotides) under uncultured bacterium. RNAcentral's name for it is "partial 16S ribosomal RNA". It matches the Rfam family "Bacterial small subunit ribosomal RNA", at positions 524 to 776 of the family's 1533-position model. The record is from RNAcentral.